RNAcentral lists this transfer RNA (75 nucleotides) under Haloarcula vallismortis. RNAcentral's name for it is "tRNA_Cys_GCA". It matches the Rfam family "tRNA". Rfam says of the family: Transfer RNA (tRNA) molecules are approximately 80 nucleotides in length. Their secondary structure includes four short double-helical elements and three loops (D, anti-codon, and T loops). RNAcentral also lists the same sequence under 1 other name. Lineage: Archaea; Methanobacteriati; Methanobacteriota; Halobacteria; Halobacteriales; Haloarculaceae. The record is from RNAcentral.
AGAGGGGUGGCAGAGUCUGGUCCUAUGCAGCCGGCUGCAAACCGGCCUACCCGAGUUCAAAUCUCGGCCCCUCUU